UACGUAGGUGGCGAGCGUUAUCCGGAUUUAUUGGGCGUAAAGCGUGCGCAGGCGGUUUGUUAGGUCUAAAAUUAAAGUCCGAAGCUUAACUUCGGUUCGUUUUAGAAACCGGCAGGCUUGAGUAUGGUAGAGGCAAACGGAAUUUCUAGUGUAGCGGUAAAAUGCGUAGAUAUUAGAAGGAACACCAGUGGCGAAGGCGGUUUGCUGGGCCAUUACUGACGCUCAUGCACGAAAGCGUGGGGAGCAAAUAGG
RNAcentral lists this ribosomal RNA (252 nucleotides) under uncultured bacterium. RNAcentral's name for it is "partial 16S ribosomal RNA". It matches the Rfam family "Bacterial small subunit ribosomal RNA", at positions 524 to 776 of the family's 1533-position model. The record is from RNAcentral.